Small nuclear RNA from Sarcophilus harrisii (Tasmanian devil), 99 nucleotides. The record is from Ensembl. Lineage: Eukaryota; Metazoa; Chordata; Mammalia; Dasyuromorphia; Dasyuridae.
GUACUCACAUGGAUAGCUCAUCUAUUAAAAUUGGAAUGAUAAAGAUCAGCAUGGUCCCUGCAGAAGGAUGACAAAAUUCAUGAAGUGCUUCAUAUUUUU